UUAAACGUCCAUACCACGUUGAAUACACCGGUUCUCAUCCGAUCACCAAAGUUAAGCAACGUUGGGCGCAGUCAGAACUUGGAUGGGUGACCGCCUGGGAACACCGCGUGACGUUGGCU
This 119-nucleotide ribosomal RNA is filed under the name Melitaea cinxia (Glanville fritillary). Lineage: Eukaryota; Metazoa; Arthropoda; Insecta; Lepidoptera; Nymphalidae. The record is from RNAcentral.